Molecule: ribosomal RNA, 253 nt
Filed under: uncultured bacterium
Lineage: Bacteria
Description: partial 16S ribosomal RNA
Rfam family: Bacterial small subunit ribosomal RNA
Source: RNAcentral
UACGAAGGGGGCUAGCGUUGCUCGGAAUCACUGGGCGUAAAGCGCACGUAGGCGGACUCUUAAGUCGGUGGUGAAAUCCUGGAGCUCAACUCCAGAACUGCCUCCGAUACUGCGAGUCUCCGAGUCCGGGAGAGGUGAGUGGAACUGCGAGUGUAGAGGUGAAAUUCGUAGAUAUUCGCAAGAACACCAAGUGGCGAAGGCGGCUGCAGCUGGCCCGGUGACCUGAGCCGUGAGGUGAGCGGAAACGAGCGGU